RNAcentral lists this transfer RNA (75 nucleotides) under Lambia antarctica. Its description in RNAcentral is "tRNA-Ile". It matches the Rfam family "tRNA". Rfam says of the family: Transfer RNA (tRNA) molecules are approximately 80 nucleotides in length. Their secondary structure includes four short double-helical elements and three loops (D, anti-codon, and T loops). The record is from RNAcentral. Lineage: Eukaryota; Viridiplantae; Chlorophyta; Ulvophyceae; Bryopsidales; Bryopsidaceae.
GGGCUAUUAGCUCAGCUUGGUUAGAGCGCUGUCCUGAUAAGACAGAGGUCGCUGGUUCAAAUCCAGCAUAGCCCA